CCAGACUCCUACGGGAGGCAGCAGUCGGGAAUAUUGCGCAAUGGGGGAAACUCUGACGCAGUGACGCCGCGUGCAGGAAGAAGGUUUUCGGAUUGUAAACUGCUUUAGACAGGGAAGAAACAAGACAGUACCUGUAGAAUAAGCUCCGGCUAACUACGUGUCAGCAGCCGCGGUAAUACGGAGGAUGCGAGCGUUAUCCGGAUUUAUUGGGUUUAAAGGGUGCGCAGGCGGAGGUGCAAGUCAGCGGUCAAAUUGCGGGGCUCAACCCCGUACUGCCGUUGAAACUGCAUCCCUUGAGUGCGCGAGAAGUAUGCGGAAUGCGUGGUGUAGCGGUGAAAUGCAUAGAUAUCACGCAGAACUCCGAUUGCGAAGGCAGCAUACCGGCGCGCAACUGACGCUCAUGCACGAAAGCGUGGGUAUCGAACAGGAUUAGAUACCCUAGUAAA
Molecule: ribosomal RNA, 446 nt
Filed under: uncultured bacterium
Lineage: Bacteria
Description: bacterial SSU rRNA
Rfam family: Bacterial small subunit ribosomal RNA
Source: RNAcentral